GACGUAGGGCGCGAGCGUUGUCCGGAUUUAUUGGGCGUAAAGAGCUCGUAGGCGGAUUUGCAAGUCGGGGGUGAAAGCCCGAGGCUCAACCUCGGAACUGCCCUCGAUACUGCAAAUCUCGAGUCCGAGAGAGGUGAGUGGAAUUCCUAGUGUAGAGGUGAAAUUCGUAGAUAUUAGGAAGAACACCAGUGGCGAAGGCGGCUCACUGGCUCGGUACUGACGCUGAGGCGCGAAAGCGUGGGGAGCAAACAGG
RNAcentral lists this ribosomal RNA (253 nucleotides) under uncultured bacterium. RNAcentral describes it as "partial 16S ribosomal RNA". It matches the Rfam family "Bacterial small subunit ribosomal RNA", at positions 524 to 776 of the family's 1533-position model. The record is from RNAcentral.